GAUGAACGCUGGCGGCGUGCCUAAUACAUGCAAGUCGAGCGAACGGACGAGAAUCUUGCUUCUCUGAUGUUAGCGGCGGACGGGUGAGUAACACGUGGAUAACCUACCUAUAAGACUGGGAUAACUUCGGGAAACCGGAGCUAAUACCGGAUAAUAUUUUGAAGCGCAUGGUUCAAAAGUGUAAGACGGUCUUGCUGUCACUUAUAGGUGUAUCCGCGCUGCAGUAGAUAGUUGGUAAGGUAACGGCUUACCAAGGAAACGAGGCAUAGCCGACGUGAGAGGGUGGUCGGCCAGACUGGAACUGCGACAACGUCCAGACUCCUACGCGAGGCAGCAGUAGGGAAGCUGCCGCAGUGGGCGAAAGCCUGACGGAGCAACGCGGCGUGAGUGAUGAAGCUCUUCGGAUCGUAAAACUCUGUUAGUAGGGAAGAACAUAUGUGUAAGUAACUGUGCACAUCUUGACGGUACCUAAUCAGAAAGCCACGGCUAACUACGUG
This 497-nucleotide ribosomal RNA is filed under the name uncultured bacterium. RNAcentral's name for it is "partial 16S ribosomal RNA". It matches the Rfam family "Bacterial small subunit ribosomal RNA", at positions 28 to 507 of the family's 1533-position model. The record is from RNAcentral.